RNAcentral lists this ribosomal RNA (2160 nucleotides) under Sphaerospora elegans. RNAcentral describes it as "partial 28S ribosomal RNA". It matches the Rfam family "Eukaryotic large subunit ribosomal RNA", at positions 23 to 1167 of the family's 3401-position model. Lineage: Eukaryota; Metazoa; Cnidaria; Myxozoa; Bivalvulida; Sphaerosporidae. The record is from RNAcentral.
ACCCGCUGAAUUUAAGCAUAUCAGUAAGCGGAGGAAAAGAAAACAACAGUGAUUCCCUCAGUAACUGCGAGUGAAGCGGGAAGAGCCCAACGUCGAAUCGCUUUUGCCUUUAACCGGGUGGCGAUCAUAUCGCGAGCGAGCUGUGACGUAUGGACUCUCUGCACCGAGUCCGGUCGUGCCACCAAAGUUUACCUGGAAAGGUGCGCCAAAGAGGGUGAGAGCCCCGUGUGUGGUGGUGUGAGUGUUGUGUAAGACCGGAUUCGCUAGCUUUCAGCUAGUGUGGCAGUGAGUUCCCUGAGUCGGGUUGUUUGGGAUUGCAGCCCUAAGCGGGUGGUAAACUCCACCCAAGGCUAAAUACUGGCACAAGACCGAUAGCGAACAAGUACCGUGAGGGAAAGUUGAAAAGCAUUCCGAAAGGAAGGUCAAAUAGGACGUGAAACCGUUAAAGGGGAAGCGGAUGGAGGGGUCGAAAUAUCCCACCCGGUCCAGCGUCGUGUGCCUAUGGUACAUGCGACGUUUAUGCCGUACUCUAAGGUGUGGAUGAGCCGAAACAGUCGUUGCAAGUACGGCCAAGGCAGCUUGGGCACUUGAUUGUCAUUAUCCACUACUUAGUUUGGCCUUUAUCCGUCAAAUGUUAGUAUGUGGUCUAUGAUGGCGAUCAGCUGCUAUCUGUAUGUUGUACGCGUGUCUAAACCGCAACACCACUUGGUGCUAUAGACUUAUCAUCUUUAGCUGAAAGAAUCGUUUGCGAUGACUGAGUAUUAGCGUCGUUGAGACGAGGCUGUACGCCUUCUUUGGUGUUUCUGCAUCAAAGCUUGAGGCACUGUGCUGCGUGAAGUGUGCGCAUUGGUCCCAGUACUACUUUUAUAAUAGAAUGAUUCGAAGUUGGUGUAAAAGCCAACCUAGACAUCAACUCUUUAUAACAAGAUUUAUUCCCGGUGAGGCCUUCAUCGUGCGGGGAGAUAUUAUUGUAAGCUCAAACUUCCAAUGAUAUCUCUGCGAUGAUAGGCGAGACCUCGCACGCAUCUGUCGUGGGAACGUGGGUCAAACCACGGUCCGUUAUCACGCCGGGUAGUACUCGAUUAAUUGUUACACGCGUAUUACCGUCGCCAGCCUUGCGACACGCGCACUUUUCUGAUGAGUACAGCUAAUUUUCGGCGAGACACCAAUCCAUCCGACCCGUCUUGAAACACGGACCAAGGAGCCUAACAUAUGCGCGAGUCAAAGGGUGACUGAAACCCACAGUGUGUGAAUGACACCGAAGCUCGAGGGUUUAUCCCCAACCAGGACCUCGAGCUUCUUCAAGUGAUGAGGCGUAAUGAAAGUGACCACCAAUUGUGGUGAUGAGAUGGGAUCUGACUGUGUUACGAUUUGCCAUUUUUGACAACUCUCAAACAGUUGGCGCACCAUCAGCCGGUCUGCGCGUAGGUGCGGAUUGAGCGAGAGCGCAUAUGCUAGAACCCGAAAGAUGGUGAACUAUUCCUGGAUAGGGCGAAGCCGGAGGAAACUCCGGUGGAGGCUCGUAGCGAUUCUGACGUGCAAAUCGAUCGUCAAAUCUGGGUAUAGGGGCGAAAGACUAAUCGAACCAUCUAGUAGCUGGUUCCUUCCGAAAUAUCCCUCAGGAUCGCUGAGAUUUGACAAAAAGCUUUAUUGCAUAUGGUAGUUUCAUCGGGUAGAGCUAAUGAUUAGAGUUAUUUGGGAGCUACUGCUCCUGAAACUAUUCUCAAACUGCCAACCGGUGAGUCACUGGUCCGGCGAUUUCUUUGGUGCUCUAGGUCAGUUAUUUUAGGUGAGAUGUGUGCGCAUAUCUCAUCACUGAUCUGGAUAUCAUCCGGUUCGGUGGUCCGGUGUGAUUUUGUUACCUUUGGUGUAGACCUUUACCGGAAUACAUUAUUUGUAACAGAGUCAUAUACUGAGUGGCUUCGAGGUGUACGAAAGUGGCCCUCACGACAGAGGCUGUUUAAGUAAACCGUGGCUAUCACCGUGAUGAUAAACAGUAAAAUGUGCACGAUUUUGAAUCGCUGACCACGAUCAUAUUCGGCUGGUAAAACAGUUGGGUACGAUUACGCACUAGAGGAGCGCAAAGCUUUGUGCGGGAGGUGAAUACCAGAGUCUCAAGUGGGCCGUUUCUGGUAAGCAGAACUGGCGAUGCGGGAUGAA